UGGGGAAUUUUGCACAAUGGAGGAAACUCUGAUGCAGCGACGCCGCGUGAGUGAUGAAGAUCUUCGGAUUGUAAAACUCUGUCCUUAGUGAAGAUAAUGACAGUAACUAAGAAGCAAGCCCUGGCUAAAUACGUGCCAGCAGCCGCGGUAAUACGUAUGGGGCAAGCGUUGUCCGGAAUUAUUGGGCGUAAAGGGUACGUAGGCGGUUUAAUAAGUCCUAAUUAAAAGGCUAUGGCUCAACCAUAGUAUGGUUAGGAAACUGUUGAACUUGAGUAGAUGAGGGGAAAGUGGAAUUCCAUGUGUAGCGGUGAAAUGCGUAGAUAUAUGGAGGAACACCAAUGGAGAAGGCAACUUUCUGGAAUCAAACUGACGCUGAGGUACGAAGGCGUGGGGAGCAAACAGG
RNAcentral lists this ribosomal RNA (403 nucleotides) under Fusobacteriota bacterium. RNAcentral's name for it is "Fusobacteria bacterium partial 16S ribosomal RNA". It matches the Rfam family "Bacterial small subunit ribosomal RNA", at positions 355 to 776 of the family's 1533-position model. The record is from RNAcentral. Lineage: Bacteria; Fusobacteriati; Fusobacteriota.